GGAGAGGUCGCCUAGUUCGGCUUAUGGCGCUCGCCUGGAAAGCGGGUAUGUGGAAACGCAUCGAGGGUUCGAAUCCCUCUCUCUCCGCCA
Molecule: transfer RNA, 90 nt
Filed under: Eubacteriales Family XIII. Incertae Sedis bacterium
Lineage: Bacteria; Bacillati; Bacillota; Clostridia; Peptostreptococcales; Anaerovoracaceae
Description: tRNA-Ser
Rfam family: tRNA
About the family: Transfer RNA (tRNA) molecules are approximately 80 nucleotides in length. Their secondary structure includes four short double-helical elements and three loops (D, anti-codon, and T loops).
Source: RNAcentral